UACAUACAUACAUACAUACAUACAUACAUACAUACAUACAUAUUUGUGUGUAACAAAAAUUAACACGAGACACUUUCUCAAGACAAAUACUGUAGUUUCGAUAGUAUAUCUUCGUUAAGUAAUAUUGCAGCACUUGGAUCCCAUCGGUGAAAAAGCUUUUAUUCUGUUGACCAACAAGGUUAUCAACAACAGAUAUGACGUCAUCAUCACUGCGAUACUGGUUCCCAACCGGGUGUUUUUUCAUGUUGGGGAACAGAUGAUAGUCAGAUGGAGCCAAAUCAGGAGAAUAGGGAAGAGGAUUAACCAGCUCAAAGCCACAGCCACGCACAGUAGCCAUUUAAAAUAGGGACAUGUGUGCUGGGGCAUUUUCCUCAUAAAACAGGACCUUAUAUGAUUAGUUUUUCGAGACCUUCGGUCUCGAUAGCCUUUCGUAACUGCCUAAGCAAGUUAGCAUAGUACUCUCCAUAGUUGGUAUAGUACUCACCAUUUUGUAGCUCUUUUAAAGAUGGUCAAUAAAUAUAAUGCCUUUUACAUUUCAAAAAAACUGGGGCUAAUACCUCCCCUGGCCUCUUUUGGAGCAGGUGAAGAAGGGUGUUUCCACUUACAUGCAUAGUCUUCUUUCUUUGAUAUAAUCAGCCUGAUGCGUUUUUGAUCGGAAGACGUGACAGCCACCAAGCAGAAACCUUCGUCAUGCCAAGUUCAUUGUGCAGAAUAUUCUCAACUCUCUCACGAGAUAUGCUAAUAACAUAAGCUAUUUGAUUUAUAGUCACGCGCCAUCACCAUGUGGUGAACACGAUUAACGUUUUCCUCUGGGGUGGCAGCUGCAGGACCUCCAGACCUUGUGUUAGCUUCAAGACUCUCCCUCCUUCUCCUAAUUUCUGCCCACUUUUGCACAGUUCAUAAAGACGGGGUGACCAUUCUCUAAAGUAGUAAGCAUGUCAGCAUUAAUGUCCUUAGGGGCUAAACCCAUUUUCUGCAGGUAUUUGAUUACACUACAAUGUCCAAUUUUGUUUAUUUUCAAGAAAAUUCGCUGCUAGUUACAUUUGAGUUCUUCUUUAAGAAGCCAGAUGUCAGUUUACAAGUAAUGCAGUUAUUAAUAAAAUCAGUUUUUCAGGUAUUGCCAAAUUUAGAGACCACCCAGGAAAUAGAAUGAUUAUAAAAGCAAAGAAAGAAAUGCUUAGAGAAUAACAGCAAAUAAAUGGAUUAUCAACAUGUGUGAUAUGGCACUAGACUAUACAAAGAAAUGAAGAUAUUUUGCCAAUCGGCAUGAUUUAGUCAUGAAAUACUACAAUAAUAAAUGAUGUGUCGAAGAAUGACAGCCUGUUGUCCAUGCCCUGAAGAUCAAACAUACCACGCUUUUCAAAUAUAUAAAACAGAAGGAAAAAGUAAAUGAAAAUAAAAUAAAAUGAAGUAAAUUUAUGAAUAAAAAAUGGCUACUGU
Octopus bimaculoides (California two-spot octopus) is the source of this 1440-nucleotide long non-coding RNA. The record is from RefSeq and is a predicted model, not a curated record. NCBI's taxonomy places the organism in Eukaryota, Metazoa, Mollusca, Cephalopoda, Octopoda, Octopodidae.